GAUGAACGCUGGCGGCGUGCCUAAUACAUGCAAGUCGAGCGAACAGACGAGGAGCUUGCUCCUCUGACGUUAGCGGCGGACGGGUGAGUAACACGUGGAUAACCUACCUAUCAGACUGGGAUAACUUCGGGAAACCGGAUCUAAUACCGGAUAAUAUAUUGAACCGCAUGGUUCAAUAGUGAAAUACGGUUUUGCUGUCACUUAUAGAUGGAUGCGGGCCGCAUUAGCUGUUGGUAAGGUAACGGCUUACCAAGGCAACGAUGCGUAGCCGGCCUGAGAGGGUGGUAGCCCACACGGGAACUGAGACACGGACCAGACGCCUACGGGAGGCAGCAGUAGGGAAUCUUACGCAAUGGGCGAGAGCCUGACGGAGCAACGCCGCGUGAGUGAUGAAGGUCUUCGGAUCGUAAAGCUCUGUUAUUAGGGAAGAACAAAUGUGUAAGUAACUAUGCACGUCUUGACGGUACCUAAUCAGAAAGCCACGGCUAACUACGUG
Molecule: ribosomal RNA, 496 nt
Filed under: uncultured bacterium
Lineage: Bacteria
Description: partial 16S ribosomal RNA
Rfam family: Bacterial small subunit ribosomal RNA
Source: RNAcentral